RNAcentral lists this ribosomal RNA (253 nucleotides) under uncultured bacterium. RNAcentral's name for it is "partial 16S ribosomal RNA". It matches the Rfam family "Bacterial small subunit ribosomal RNA", at positions 524 to 776 of the family's 1533-position model. The record is from RNAcentral.
UACGGAGAGUGCAAGCAUUAAUCGGAAUUAUUGGGCGUAAAGGGCGCGUAGGCGGAAAGGUAAGUCAGAUGUGAAAUUCCGAAGCUCAACUUCGGAGCUGCAUUUGAAACUGCCAUUCUAGAGGUAUGACGGAGAAAACGGAAUUCCACGUGUAGCGGUGAAAUGCGUAGAUAUGUGGAAGAACACCGGUGGCGAAAGCGGUUUUCUAGUUUACACCUGACGCUGAGGCGCGAGAGCAAGGGGAGCAAACAGG